AGUGAACGCUGGCGGUAGGCCUAACACAUGCAAGUCGAACGGCAGCACAGGAGAGCUUGCUCUCUGGGUGGCGAGUGGCGGACGGGUGAGGAAUACAUCGGAAUCUACUCUGUCGUGGGGGAUAACGUAGGGAAACUUACGCUAAUACCGCAUACGACCUACGGGUGAAAGCAGGGGACCUUCGGGCCUUGCGCGAUUGAAUGAGCCGAGGUCGGAUUAGCUAGUUGGCGGGGUAAAGGCCCACCAAGGCGACGAUCCGUAGCUGGUCUGAGAGGAGGGUCAGCCACACUGGAACUGAGACACGGGCCAGACUCCUACGGGAGGCAGCAGGGGGGAAUAUUGGACAAUGGGCGCAAGCCUGAUCCAGCCAUACCGCGUGGGUGAAGAAGGCCUUCGGGUUGUAAAGCCCUUUUGUUGGGAAAGAAAUCCAGCUGGCUAAUACCCGGUUGGGAUGACGGUACCCAAAGAAUAAGCACCGGCUAACUUCGUGCCAGCCGCCGCGGUAA
This 506-nucleotide ribosomal RNA is filed under the name uncultured bacterium. RNAcentral describes it as "partial 16S ribosomal RNA". It matches the Rfam family "Bacterial small subunit ribosomal RNA", at positions 29 to 523 of the family's 1533-position model. The record is from RNAcentral.